Molecule: ribosomal RNA, 292 nt
Filed under: uncultured bacterium
Lineage: Bacteria
Description: partial 16S ribosomal RNA
Rfam family: Bacterial small subunit ribosomal RNA
Source: RNAcentral
GUGUCAGCAGCCGCGGUAAUACGGGGGGUGCAAGCGUUGUUCGGAAUCAUUGGGCGUAAAGCGCGCGCAGGCGGCUUGGUAAGUCAGAUGUGAAAUCCCUGGGCUUAACCCAGGAAGUGCAUUUGAUACUGCCUCGCUAGAGUACGGGAGAGGAAAGUGGAAUUCCUGGUGUAGAGGUGAAAUUCGUAGAUAUCAGGAGGAACACCGGUGGCGAAGGCGACUUUCUGGCCCGAUACUGACGCUCAGGCGCGAAAGCGUGGGGAGCAAACAGGAUUAGAAACCCCCGUAGUCC